GAUGAACGCUGGCGGCGUGCCUAAUACAUGCAAGUCGAGCGAACAGAUGAGGAGCUUGCUCCUCUGACGUUAGCGGCGGACGGGUGAGUAACACGUGGAUAACCUACCUAUAAGACUGGGAUAACUUCGGGAAACCGGAGCUAAUACCGGAUAAUAUAUUGAACCGCAUGGUUCAAUAGUGAAAGACGGUUUUGCUGUCACUUAUAGAUGGAUCCGCGCCGCAUUAGCUAGUUGGUAAGGUAACGGCUUACCAAGGCAACGAUGCGUAGCCGACCUGAGAGGGUGAUCGGCCACACGGGAACUGAGACACGGUCCAGACUCCAACGGGAGGAAGCGGUAGGGAAUCUUCAGAAAUGGGCGAAAGCCUGACGAAGCAACGCGGCGUGAGUGAUGAAGGUCUUCGGUUCGUAAAACCCUGUUAUUAGGGAAAAACAAAUGUGUAAGUAACUAUGCACGUCUUGACGGUACCUAAUCAGAAAGCCACGGCUAACUACGU
Molecule: ribosomal RNA, 496 nt
Filed under: uncultured bacterium
Lineage: Bacteria
Description: partial 16S ribosomal RNA
Rfam family: Bacterial small subunit ribosomal RNA
Source: RNAcentral